Molecule: transfer RNA, 71 nt
Filed under: Dipodomys ordii (Ord's kangaroo rat)
Lineage: Eukaryota; Metazoa; Chordata; Mammalia; Rodentia; Heteromyidae
Rfam family: tRNA
About the family: Transfer RNA (tRNA) molecules are approximately 80 nucleotides in length. Their secondary structure includes four short double-helical elements and three loops (D, anti-codon, and T loops). Further hydrogen bonds mediate the characteristic L-shaped molecular structure. tRNAs have two regions of fundamental functional importance: the anti-codon, which is responsible for specific mRNA codon recognition, and the 3' end, to which the tRNAs corresponding amino acid is attached (by aminoacyl-tRNA synthetases). tRNAs cope with the degeneracy of the genetic code in two manners: having more than one tRNA (with a specific anti-codon) for a particular amino acid; and 'wobble' base-pairing, i.e. permitting non-standard base-pairing at the 3rd anti-codon position.
Source: Rfam by way of RNAcentral
GGGAAUGUGACUCAGCUGUAAGAGUGCUUGCCUUGCAUGCAUGAGGCCCUGGGUUCCAUUCCUCAGCACCA